GCUCUUUCUUCGGUGGCGGCAGACGGGUGAGUAACACGUGGAUAACCUACCUAUAAGACUGGGAUAACUUCUGGAAAC
This 78-nucleotide ribosomal RNA is filed under the name Staphylococcus aureus. RNAcentral's name for it is "partial 16S ribosomal RNA". The record is from RNAcentral. Lineage: Bacteria; Bacillati; Bacillota; Bacilli; Caryophanales; Staphylococcaceae.